This 6663-nucleotide long non-coding RNA is filed under the name Hordeum vulgare. RNAcentral's name for it is "long non-coding RNA (HVUL_LNC002713)". The record is from RNAcentral. Lineage: Eukaryota; Viridiplantae; Streptophyta; Magnoliopsida; Poales; Poaceae.
GUUGAGGUGGAGGAAGCUGCUGCUGCUAUGAGGAAGACAUCCUAUGUGAAUCCCAAACAUCCCAGGGUUGAUGUGAUUAGAUAUUAUGAAGAUGAAAUGAUAGAGGACGAGGAGAAAUCUCAAAUUGACAAGGAAGCAUUCAAAGAACAAGAGGUAUUUAUUGUGUUCUUUAGUUGCAUGCACGAUCACUCAAGAACAUAUCAAUCAAAAUAAGAUGUUGGAGCACACAUUAAGUUAAGAAAUCAAAGCUUAUUAUUUAUGUUAAUAAUUCCCCCCAAUGUAUUAUACUUGUUAAAAAAAUACUGAACUAUUCUUUUCUGAUAUACUAGCUUGUUACUGAUCAAUGCCAUGUCACUUGUUAAUUGUUAUACGUGAAAGGUUUAAUUAUAAUCAUUGCCCCUUCUCUUGAAUGCAGAUCAUUCUUGAGAAGAUUGGACCCUGGGGAGGAAAUAUAGGGAGAAACCGCGACAUAAAGGUGGCACCACAAUAUCUAAGGAGUGUGAAAAUUUGUUGUGGUGAUGUUAUAGAUGCAUUUGCGUUUUCUUACCUGGACGGAAAUGGGAAUCUGCAUCAGACACCUCUUUGGGGUGGUACUGGUGGGACCAUCCACACGGUUAGUAAUGAACUUCUCAUGCAUUGUGCAAGACCUUGUUAAGACAAAUUAUAUUAAAUGUACUCUUCAAAAGGUGCAACACAGGAUUAUCAUCUUUACACAUAAAAAAACCAAUAACAAAACUAACAUAGUGUUAUUAUAAACAUAGUUGGAUUGACCAUCAUUUUUUUAUUGCAGAUAAAUUUUAAAAUUCAGAAAUACAAAGAUUAGACGUAUGGUUCAUAUACAAUUAAGAAUGAGAAGUGGUUCUCUAUAUGCAAAACAAGAACGGAUAAUUUAAAUAGAUUGAGCUGCCAAACAUAUAAAAAUAAACUGCGUGUGCCCACACAUUAACUAAGCUAUUCUAAAUAUCUACAUAUGUGAGCGGUUUUCCAUUGGCCAAAUAAAUUCCCAAUAAACAUUUGAAGCUUCAUAAUUACCACUGAUUUUGCAGAUUAUACUAGAACCCUCGGAAUCUGUGAUUGAAAUUUCAGGGACUUUUGGUCCGUAUGGUCAAUUUCCCAGCAUCAUAAAGUCGCUUAUGCUCGUGACCAACAUACAUACAUAUGGGCCUUUUGGGCAGCUACAUGGAACUCCUUUCCACUCCCGGGUGAAGAAAAACAACAGUAUUGUUGGCUUCUUUGGGUGCUCAGGGGAAUUUCUUCAUGCAAUAGGUGUUUAUAUUCAUCCUUAGUUUCUAAAUCUUAGCUAUGACUUCUCAAUGUUUCUGUUUUGUGUGGGAAGACUUCUCAGUGUUCUUUGAAGAAUGUCGGUACUCAAACUCCGUGAUGUGUUCAUAUAACAAAUAAGCCAAUUCCUGAUUUUUGUAAUGAUGAAGUGGAUGCUGCCAAUAGGGGAAGAACGUAUUGGCUUGACCUCUAUCCAGUAUCCACUUACAGUUUAGAUGUGUUGAUGUGUUCGUGCUUUAGUUUCCCUUAAUGUUUAUCUUCUUCACUUAUGAAUGUUGAUUCCAUGCUUUGAUUUCCCUUAUGCCCGUUUUGGGCAUUUUACACCCAUGAUGCCCCCCCCCCCCCCCCCCACCCCCACUGUCCCACAUGUUCAGGCCAGUAGGUGUUCAACACUUUCUGCGUGCUCACAAAAGGGGCAAAAGACCAUUGCCUGGACUAAUGACUCAUUUGAAGUUGCUCCCUAUAUCCCUAUAACUAUAAGACGGGCUCUAUCCUGCUGAAUGACUCGCCAGGUGAAUACCCUCCUUUUUAAGGAAUAAAAAGGCCCACAUAACAUCAUUUCAUAUACGUGUUGGUAACUCCCAUGUAGAUUUUGUUAGCGGUGAGCUCCCGUACAACCCAGUCCUCCUGAUCAAUGAUAGCUUCUAGCGAGCACAUAAGUUAACGCGCGUUCACCAAGGAUUCAACAGCUAAACAAUCUUUGUUUUCAGCUGCUUGGGGCAAGUCAAUGGAACUGGAAUUUUGAAGCUAAUUUGCUCCACCAGCAACCAUGCCAAAAACUCGUUUUCCUACCAUUACCGACUAUGUAGACUCACCCCAUGUAAAGCAGUGCUUGCGUUGUUAUAACCCAUUCCAGAACUGAGACCCCCCGCACCAGGAGUUAGCGCUGCCGCCGAUUGUGGACGAGGCCGAGGCCAUGGUGGCAAUAGAGGACAUGGAGGAAGGCAAGGCAGUCAAGCAGCAUUUCAAAGCAGGCGAUAGAUGGGUCAAGGGAGGGUGUGAAUAAGGGAUUUCUCAUGUCAGUCUCGAAGGGGUAGGCUCCCAUGGCUGGUGUAGAAGAGGCGGCGCCUGAUGAGGCCCACCAGCGUUUGAAGACAAGGGAGGCACAAAGGAGGAAGGGGGGCUGCAAGGGGAGGUGGAGGAGGAUCUCACUGAGGAUGUCAGACAAUGUUUUCUUCUUCGAUGGAUUCAUCAACAAUGCUUUCAAGGUCCAAUUUCAUGAACUUAUCACCACAUUUCCACUGUCUAGGAUAGGCCCUGUGUUUUUUUUAAAUGGACUUUAUUGAUCAUAUGAUAGCAUUGUCAUCUACAGGGUCAGAAGGAGUAGGCAGGCCUUGCUAAGCAGUUAACCACCUGGUUUGCAUUGUGAUCACAAAAACACUCGGCCUGGGCCAUUGCAUCCAUUCCAAAAUGGUUCGUGGCACCAUUCAGUGUUUCUAUGAGAUGUAAGCAAUCAGAUUCCACUACAAUCUGGCUGCAGCCCCAUUUUUUGUUGGCACUAUUAGCUGCUUCCGGGUGCACCAGAAUAAAACCAAAACGGACGCACGUCGGCACAACACCACUCGUCGGGAAGCAGCAACGCAACACCAACUGGAUUCACCUAAAGUCCUUGCUGGUCUCCCUACCCAGCCCAGCUCCAGCAUGUUGGUGAUGUUUAAGUCAAGAUCAAUCUGCAGCUUCCAGGAGCCCCCCGCUAGUGCUGCAUGAAAAACGACUGUUUCAUGAAUGACAUCAGCAGGUUAACUGUUGAACAACUUUGACUUCGAAACUCGGGCCGCCAAAACAGAGCCCAAGCCGCUAAGAAUAAACCAAGCAAAUCACACAAUGGGGCAGCUAAGAAACAGGUGGUCAACACUUUGAAUGUGCUGCAAUAGAUAUUUUGAAGUUGCUCCCUAGCAGGGACACUAUCCGGAAUGACUCGGAAGGUGAAAUAUCCUGCUGCUUUUUAUAGAGAAAUACGAAGCCCAUGUAAGUCAUAGCUCUAUACAUUGACUUGCAGUGUAAAUUUAGUUAGCAGUGAGUCCCACACGGCAGUCGUCCUGAUCAGGUGAGGGAGAUAUAGAGUAACAUUACACAGUUAAUACAUGAAGUUGCCUGCCGCAAAUACAUUAGUUAGAAAUUGGUGUUGCUUAUAAGUAAUAAGUAAUGCACAGCUGGUGGCCCAAAUCAGCCUGGGAGGUCAGGGUGCGGUGCUGUUGAAAUGAACCUGACUCUGGUGAUGCAUGCCCAUCCAAAUCACUUCGAACACAGACGUCUCUGUGAUGGUUGAUGUUGUUCAUGACACUACGCGUGGACGUCAGGAAGAUACAAGUUCCAUCUUACUUGACGAGCUUCCCCCUACUGCUUGACUGCUACAACCUCUUCCUUAAAAACCAUCUUACUUGACGAGCUUCCCCCUGCUUCUUGACUGCUACAACCUCUUCCUUAAAAACCACGACGGCCUCGCACUCGUCAUCAACCGGCAACACCACCAGUUCCUGUAACCGGAGACCAACAGCUACUGGACUGACAACCAGUUCAUUGCACCACGAUACAAAGUACAAUCGGCUUCUUACCAACAUUACAUUACAUCACGGUUCUUGUAGGAACAUUGCAACGGACUAAUGUAACCUAAAGAUCAACAAAUAAAGGCAAACCAAACUUUUUGAAGGGCGACAAGUAAUAUAUUUCUGUAACAAAAAAAUGAAGAUACAUUACUUGAAGUUACCAUCUCGUUUUUUGAUAAGCAAGCAACAUGACCUGACUGAAGAGAGAAAUUGGCAAAACUAACCCGAGCAAUGUGGAGACACCAUAGGAGGAGGGUUGGUAGUGAUGGGUGUAGGGCUUCCCGGACCUCAACUCCACACGUGUUGUUAAUAAUUAUCAGCUAGGCUCUGGUUACUUUGUGCUACCUAAUGCGAAAUUGAGGCCCCAGAAAUGAUACACACAUCGCUAUCAACCCUCCGCCCAUGGCCGUCACUGGAUCACCAAGGCUAGGUUUGCCCACACCUCUUUUUAUUUAGUUCAUGUUGCUUAUCAUUGUUUGUCUUAUUUUUAUUUAUUACUGCCAAAUAUAUUUGUUAAUAUAGUUCAAUAAACUUAUCAUCGUGCAUGGCACAAUAAUAAACUUAUCAUUGUGUGCAAACUUGAGCAUUGUUACCAUCUAAAAGAUUUGUUUUGCCUUUGUGUGAUAAUCUUUAGGCUACACUAGUCAACCGAGAUGUCGCUACAAAGACCAUGGUGCAAUGUAUGGUUUGUCUGGUAGGUAACAACUAAGAAGACACUGACGAUACUUUGUAAUAUGGUGAAAAUAACAAAGUGGCGGUCUCUGGUUACAGGACCCCAAACUCCAAACAAACAAGUUGUACUGUUUUGCUGAUUGAGGACGAGGGCUGCAAUCGAGGAAUAGGUCAUACUAGUCAUGUGGCAAGAGAAAUCACACUGCAAGUCUAGGGAGGGUGUGAAAAAGGGUUGACUCAUGUCGACAUCAUCCGUGGCAGGCACGAAAGAUGCAAAGGAGGCACAGGGGAGGGAGAGCAUGUGGGGGUUAGGCAAAGUAGGAUCUCCCACUAGAGAUCAUCAUCUAGCGGAGGCGCCAUGGGGGACUUUUGUGUUUUAUUCGUGGUUCCAGCAGACUGCCCUCACUUCACUCGGCUAAAAAGAUAUCGACGGUUAGGGCAAGAUGGGCCAAGCCUAAACCUGGGCGUACACCAAGCCGGGCCGGGCUUCGAGCCAGGCUUUGAAAAGCCCGAACCAAAAAUCUCAGGCCCAGGCCCGAGCCCGGCCAGAAAAUGAAAAACUCAGGCCGGAGCCCGGCCCAAACGGACUAAAAAGGGAAUUUCCGAGCCGGGCCAAGCCUCCGUGUAAAAUGGCGAUUUGUGCAAGCCCGAUCCCGGCCCGAACUGCUACCCGGGCUUGUAAACCCGCCCAGAACUGCAAGACUGGUCCAGCCCGGCCCAGGUUUUUCGGGCCAGGCUCGGGCCGGGUCACCGGGCCGGGCUGCCCAUGCCCAGAUUUAGCCAAGCCCAUAUACCACACUAGUUACACAUGAUCCUUGUUGACCAUGCCUUUUUUUUGUAAAAUGAUAACGAAAGCAUGAGUAAGCCCAAUCCAAGGCACACUACCAAAAGACAUACCAUCCACAUGAUCGUCAUAUUUGACACCACAAUAAAGAAAGUCCAUACAAACCCUUGAUACCCUAAUCCUAGUUCAUACAGACAAAACCUAAACCUAGUUUGCCGACAUGAUCGAUGCCAUGUUCAGUCGUCGUAGUUGAUUAGUGCCUGACAACGGACUUGCGCAGCGCACACGCGAGCUCAUGCUCCUUGGCAACCCUGAGCACCUUCUUUGACAUUCACCAGCGCGCGCUGAGCAGCACUAAGUUCAUCGACAGCUGCGCGAGACCUCAUGAAGCGAGGCAUGAUGCUUGCUCAUCGAGUACAUCAAAGCCAGCCCAUGGUCUCGCCCGUCGCUCCAGGAGGGCGAAGCAUGAUCCCACCCCUAGGUCAACCUCCAGGUGCACCGCGCAGCGUCCUCAUUGUUGCUGGAGCUAUAAAUCAUCACCACAACACGACUGGAGAGGCUCACAGACGUGGCCACCAUGGCUUCUACCCGCAUCAACGUGGCUGGAUCUGCCAGCCAUCUAUCUGCCCGAGACGAAGAAGAAGGAGAGGAGAGGAGCGAGAAAUUUCUCACCGAGAUGUCUAACCCUAGCAACGGAGGGGGUCGGAGGGCUAACCGAGCGGAGGGGAUCAGGUGGCUAAGCAGGGCGGAGGGGUAUUUAGGGUUAUUAGUUUAAACAUAUUUACUAUUUUUUAUCACGGUCAAGGUAAGCCAACACUGAUCAGCAAGACCUACAGUAGACACACACGGCAGUAACAAGUUACAAACACAAUGCUGCUGCUGUUGGUUUUAUUUUCUAGUGCAAUCAUCAAUUGCGUCAAAUCUGAGUGAGUAAUUCAGCGGUCUGCAGUCUGUACAAAAUCAAAAGGCACAGGCACCACAUAUAUUACUUACUCCAGAAAUCUGAAGGCAGUAACAAUGCAUAAUUGUUCCGACGAAUCCCACACAACCCUGAGGUCAGCAGCCACUAGUAGUUCACUACCAAAUGCAUAGCCGUCACACAAGUGCAGGUGCAGCGCAGAGGAAGAUUACGGCACGCUGUUUAACGGAGAGGCAGAGCGGUGUACCAUCCAUCACGAAUCGGCCGGACUUCAGGGGAAGGGCGGCAGCCGCAGCACGGCCUGCUCCGUCUCCACGGGGUCGGACCGCGAGAUCUGCACACCACCGGAGCAGCGGCCAGUCAGAACGAUCCAGCGGUAAAUCUGUGCGUGCGUGCGGAGGACGGGCGGACGGGCGGACUCACCGGGUCGCGGAGGACGGGCUUGGUGUCGUCCGCCNNNN